ACUAUAGCUUGACACUGAACAUUGAGCCUUGAUGUGUAGGAUAGGUGGGAGGCUUUGAAGCGUGGACGCCAGUCUGCGUGGAGCCAACCUUGAAAUACCACCCUUUAAUGUUUGAUGUUCUAACGUUGGCCCCUAAUCGGGGUUGCGGACAGUGUCUGGUGGGUAGUUUGACUGGGGCGGUCUCCUCCCAAAGCGUAACGGAGGAGCACGAAGGUUAGCUAAUCCUGGUCGGACAUCAGGAGGUUAGUGCAAUGGCAUAAGCUAGCUUGAC
Molecule: ribosomal RNA, 271 nt
Filed under: Klebsiella quasipneumoniae subsp. similipneumoniae
Lineage: Bacteria; Pseudomonadati; Pseudomonadota; Gammaproteobacteria; Enterobacterales; Enterobacteriaceae
Description: partial 23S ribosomal RNA
Rfam family: Bacterial large subunit ribosomal RNA
Source: RNAcentral